UGCUGUUUAAGUUCUAUCUAUAGAUUAGUUCAGGGUGCCUCAUAGCUGACGAUAGGUUCAUCAGGAUAGGAGGCCUUGGGAGAGAGAGAGAGAGAGAAGAUUCCUUGCUUCUGGUUGUGCAGACUGGAUGGAAAGCGAGGACAAAAUAUCAGGCCAAGAGCAUUAAUAUGAGCCCCAUGGAAACAGAUACCAAUUUUUAAAACAGAAGAAUCCCCACGAUGCCAGUGAAAUGAAAAGCACAGGCUAAGACUUCACUUCUCGAGCCUUGUUCUGUAACCAACCAAAUACUAUCGAUAACUUUAGACAUUGAUUAA
This is a non-coding RNA of Chiloscyllium plagiosum (whitespotted bambooshark), 314 nucleotides long. Lineage: Eukaryota; Metazoa; Chordata; Chondrichthyes; Orectolobiformes; Hemiscylliidae. The record is from RefSeq and is a predicted model, not a curated record.